Molecule: long non-coding RNA, 427 nt
Organism: Heteronotia binoei (common prickly gecko)
Lineage: Eukaryota; Metazoa; Chordata; Lepidosauria; Squamata; Gekkonidae
Exons: 3
Source: RefSeq, a predicted model, not a curated record
UGAAUUAUUGGGAUGAUUUGGCUGCAAUAUAUUGUUCCAUUGCUUCUAUGGACUUGUUGUUAUUCCCAAAAUGCAUGUGAAGAUCCACCUGGAAUUGAUUUUGGAGAGAUUAUAAAUGGUGAAAGAGCUGAGUAUCAAAAUGAUGAUAGAGUGCAAUAUGGAUGCUUCCCUGGAUAUGCCUUAGAGGGGCACGCAUGGAUAACAUGCAAAGGACCACAGUGGACCCCUACACCAAAGUGCUUGGCUCCUUGUACUAUCAGAAAACAGCAGCUGGAAACCAAAAAUCUAUUUUUGUCUGGUAGCCAAAGAUAUGCACUUGCUGUUCCAAAUAAUCAGACCCUGAAAUUCCUGUGCAUGGAAGGUUAUGUCCUCUCAACUCCUUCCAUCAGGAAAUGUAUUGAUGGGCACAUGGAUUUGCCAUCCUGUA